RNAcentral lists this ribosomal RNA (71 nucleotides) under uncultured archaeon. RNAcentral describes it as "partial 16S ribosomal RNA". The record is from RNAcentral.
UUGGACAAAAGCCCAUACAAUGUAUGAGCACUUGGGAUCCCCCUGUCACACUUUCGUGCAUUGNAGAGGUU